Molecule: ribosomal RNA, 362 nt
Filed under: uncultured eukaryote
Lineage: Eukaryota
Description: SSU rRNA
Rfam family: Eukaryotic small subunit ribosomal RNA
Source: RNAcentral
GUCAUAUGCUUGUCUCAAAGAUUAAGCCAUGCAUGUCUAAGUACACACUCUAGCAAAGUGAAACCGCGAAUGGCUCAUUAAAUCAGUUAUGGUUUAUUAGAUCGUGCAAUCCUAAUUGGAUACCUGUGGUAAUUCUAGAGCUAAUACAUGCAACUGGCCCUAACUUUACGGAAGGGCGCUUUUAUUAGAUCAAAAUCAAUCAGGAGCAAUCCUGUUUUUGUGAUGACUCUGGAUAACUUUGUGCCGACCGCAUGGCCUUGCGCCGGCGGCGUAUCUUUCAAAUGUCUGCCCUAUCAACUUUCGAUGGUACGUGACAUGCCUACCAUGGUUGUAACGGGUAACGGAGAAUCAGGGUUCGUUCC